This 485-nucleotide ribosomal RNA is filed under the name uncultured bacterium. RNAcentral's name for it is "partial 16S ribosomal RNA". It matches the Rfam family "Bacterial small subunit ribosomal RNA", at positions 28 to 523 of the family's 1533-position model. The record is from RNAcentral.
GAUGAACGCUGGCGGCGUGCUUAACACAUGCGAGUCGAACGGAAAGGCCCAAGCUUGCUUGGGUACUCGAGUGGCGAACGGGUGAGUAACACGUGGGUGAUCUGCCCUGCACUUCGGGAUAAGCCUGGGAAACUGGGUCGAAUACCGGAUAGGACCACUUCUUGGAUGUUGUGGUGGAAAGUUUUUUCGGUGUGGGUUGAGCUCGCGGCCUAUCAGCUUGUUGGUGGGGUAAUGGCCUACCAAGGCGUCGACGGGUAGCCGGCCUGAGAGGGUGUACGGCCACAUUGGGACUGAGAUACGGCCCAGACGCCUACGGGAGGCAGCAGUGGGGAAUAUUGCACAAUGGGCGCAAGCCUGAUGCAGCGACGCCGCGUGGGGGAUGACGGCCUUCGGGUUGUAAACUCCUUUCGCUAGGGACGAAGCUUAUUUUGUGACGGUACCUGGAGAAGAAGCACCGGCUAACUACGUGCCAGCCGCCGCAGUAA